UAAAUUGACACGGCAAAGUAUUUAUUUUGUUAACCACUUCACUGGCCGACAUUUCAAUAAAUUCUCCGUUCCGUUCGAGUUUCCGUUAGAGCUGUGACCGGUCGAUCGAUCUUGUCGAUGCCAUAUUGAAAAUUUUCGAUAGAUCGAUAAUACCGUUGCAGGAUAUCGUUAAUGGAUGCAAGUGACCUUUCUAUUUCUCUUUUCUCCUUCUUAUUUAAAGUUAUUAUUAAAACGUAAAAAUAUUAUUUGCAGAAAGAACUCUAACCAGUUUCACCUGCUCGAUAUUAUCGACACAUCGAAUUAUCGACAACGCAACAAUAGUAUCGAUAUAAAUACGUAUACAUCGUUAAUGAUUGCGACUGGACAAGGGAAUAAUUAAACGAAAUUUAAAUCCAACGUAAACGAUUCGACAUAACCUAUUACCACGUUCGUCCACGAAAGAAUACCAACCGAAACGAAACAAAGAAUAAUGGACCCCCGUAACCAGUUCCUUGACGUCCGCGUCGGACGUUCUUCGCAACAGAUUGAUCAACGCCGGCACACCGCCCGCGUUCUUGAUGGCCCUCUUGUUCUCAUCGUUCUGCCUCCCGUACGACAAGUUCCUCAACGCGCCGCACGCGUUCCUGUACACGUCAGGAUUGUCGUGAUCGAGCAACUGCACCAAGGGCGGUAUACCACCUAAACUUCUCGUCUUCUGCUUGUUGGGAUCGUCCAUGUAGCACAGAUGUUGCAGGUAGGCGGCCGCGUUCGCCUUGAUGAUGUUGUUCGGGUUGCUGAGGAAGCCUAUCACCUCCGACAGAUUCGGGUCCCGCCAUCUCAUCGACUUCUGGUCGUCGUCCAACGGGCUUGCCAUCCCGGGAACCACCGGGUGCCGGGAUUGCAGCCGUUGUAGGUGCACCUCGUCGUCGAACAUGCCAGGUGGCACGCCCGUGGGCAGCGGGACCGGGUGGCCCUCGUCGUAGCCGGGCACGUCGCUGGGAACUGCGACCGGGCCUACCCCGACGCCAGGGCCGUAUCCGACCGGCCCGUAUGGGGACGGAGACACGUAACCCAAUGGUUGGCAAAUGAUGGAGCACGAUAAGGUGUUUGGAUCAAGGCAAAUGGAUCAAACGCAACAGUGAUGAGAAAAGAAGGGGAGGCAGAGAUAGAGAGAGAGAGAAAGAGAGAACGUGUUAAAUAAAUUAUUGAUGUGACCCUACCAUGAGGAUGCUGAGAGGGUUCGCCGGAGUCAUCCAUAUUCCAAGAGUUGCUGAUUUGAUCUAGAGAGAACACAAAAUAACAAACGAAUGUCAGGCAUAGAGAUAAUUAAAGUGAAUUAUGCUCGUUGCGCCCUCCUGUGUGCACAGACACCGGACAGACAGAGAUUCCAACCCCCAUGCUGCAACACGAUGAUAGCUGAAUAUCUCGUUAUGGAGCUGUCUAGGUGAACGUGGCUACGCUGCCUUCGUGUGAAUUUGAACGGACCACCAGGACUAGGAGUAAUACGAUAAUGAUCUUGCAACGCGGGAUUCAAACCUGGAUCGAUGUCGUUGUAACCUCCUUCCACGUACGGCGCCGCCUUGCGCAGAGAUAAUUUUCGUCCCAAGGUGAUAAGAUGGCGUCAUGGAGGAUAUAAAAAAAAAAAAUAAACGUCUUACCAUGCGGAGGCGAGGCACGACUGUGCUCCGAGGGACUGUGAGGGCUGUGAGGGGAAUGCGAGCGUGGCAUGUAGAUUCCAUGAGGUCCUGGAUACCCUGGUUGGGGCGGGUAGCCGAGGUAGGGCUCGUAAUGCUCGAAACCGACCAUGUACGAGUCGGCCGGGUAUCGUCGGUCCGCGUGUUGAUAGUCCUGGGACAUCAACGGCACCGACAUGUAGCUCACCGCGCCCGGAUCCGGCUCCAUGUGUGAUACCUCGCGCACGACCUUCGACACGUUUGUUACCUGAAAUUAGUUUUUGCGAUCAGGUCGAGGAGAAUGGAAAGAUACCGGGCGAUAGUUUUGGUUAUUCUUCCGAGAGAAUAGAGAUUGAGAAGAUUUUGAAAAUAUUGGGAACAAUUUGGUGGAAUAUUUUGGAAUAUCGCCGUUCCUGAUGAACGGUACGAGGCGGGAACAAUCGUUAAGAGUAAAAGGAAAUCACGGCAGGGCAAAUUAGAGCGUAGGUAAAACUGGAAACGGAUCUCACUUGUUGAGUAGUUUGCUGCUUAUGGCUCCGGAUGAGUAAUGGAUCCUCCUGGACAGAUAAAUGAGACGAAUGCAACGAAUGGGUAUCCGCCUGGCCGUUACUUCCGUGGUAAUCUGCAUCACUCUGUCCGCUGCAAAAUGAUCCGCAAUAAUGAUCAAUUAGAGAUAUGCUCGUCCCAUCCGGCCAACAAUCGCCGAUUUAUUCGCUUAAGAUUCGAUAGCUUACGUGUAUUGCGGCAUGUCGGGGCCCUUCUCCUGGAGAACGCGUCUGGAAAAGAAAUACACAUGGAACGAAUCACUAUUUGCCCCGAUUUGUUACGGUCCGCGUGCCAUCAAAACGAAUAUUGAACAGCUAAAAUAAUUUCGGUGGAUAAUUUUGGAAAAGAAUGAAAUAUAUAAAAUAAGACGAGAUAAAAAAGAAAUAAAUAAAUAAAUAAAGCGCACACCGAGCUGAAAAAGUAAUACAAAGUAACGAAAAAGUAAAAGGAACCAAGAACAAAGCGAAGCAUUCAGAUACGAAUCUAACUACGUUAAACUACCUCGUAUCCUCGUCACACAUCACUCUCAACCAUGCUAAAUAAUAAACGCGAAACGAACACGAAUGUUAGUGCGGCCGAAGUUACUCAUUCUGACGACUCUUUUCGAUGAUCCACCUUUGAAAAUUGCUUGCAACGCCUCGCGAGAUCUCGAUGGACGGGAUAUCUGUAUCGAAUCUACAGGGUAUGUACGUUUUGACAGUAUUCAAGUAUUUUUUAUUUAUUUAUUUAUUUUAUUUCCAAUAAACUGACAAAGAAAGAUCCUUUAAAGAAAAUCGAGUUAAAAUCAUUUGAGAAUUAUGUAAAGACGAUGAAGAAGAUAAAAAAAAAUAUGAUGGAUAUUGUUAAAGCGUACACCCUAUAGAGCACUUGGUAUAUUCGUACUUGAAGGAGGCAUAAAUCGUUCUUGUCUCGACGUUAAACGCCCCAUCGAGAAUCUCGACGAAUUCCGAAUUUCCGAUUCGAAGCUUCGCUUUUUCCAAAGGAAAAAUAAUACACGAACAAUGUAGAUCCAACGAUGAAUAAUAAUAGAUCUGUUAAUCGGUCGCGCUCGCGCGCUCAGAAUGACUAACCUCGUCGAUUAGGUCAUGUUAGUCACCUCUGCGUGAUCUCAGUGUGCGUUAUGCUGUGCUCCUGUCUCUCGACGAUUCGACGAUUCACCAGCCUGGCAUUAAUAAUUUCGCUCUGAUUAAUAUACGGGUGCCGGGGCUACGUGCAUCCUAAGCCAUUACCGAGAAAACGAGUUUCGCCAAUUGGUCGACGUUACGUUUUUUGCAAUAGCCGUAAAAUAGAGAGAGAGAGAGAUAGAGAGAGAGAGAAAGAGAGGGGAAAGCGGAGUUCACCGAUGAUUCCCCUCGGUUGGAGAAGGAAGGAAAGAGUAAUAGAGCGAAAGACAGAAAGAGAACGUAUUAAUCGUUUACGAGACUCUCCUCGACAGAGAACUCGAGUAGAGAAAGACACUUACAGACAGGAGUCAACCAGCUGAUUAUUUGACAUACCAGCUGAUUUUUCGUCUCUUGCCGCUCAGCAGUCGAUGACGUCCCCUGGAAUCAUAUUAAAACGACAAUUCUUGAGAAGAUUAUCGAGAGAGAAACUUUUGAAAAAUAAAUCGAGAGGAUAUUCGUGCGAUACACAGCUCGGCUCUGACGAAUCAACCGUCAACUGUUUACGACUACUCGAGCCUGUUAACGACCAUCGUAUCGAUCGGUACAUUAGCGGAGGAGCUCUAAUUAGCAAGGCAUACGCACUUGAUACUUCUUUCGUGAGGACAAGUUGAGAGAAGUUUAUUAUCCAUCCGGUUGAAAAAAACUUUUCACGAUCUUGAUCGGGCAUUGUUGUCAACGAGAGGAAACUUUUUCUAAAGAAGUUUGACGAAGGAUUCUUGAAUGAAAACAAGUAAAUAAAAUAUAUAUAUAUAUAUAUAUAUAUAUAUCGAUGACUAAAGUUCGUUAGAACGAUCCGAUCGAUUUAAUCUCUUUUUUUUUCUCUCUCUCUUUUUUUAAAUUUAUUUCCUUUUUUCACUUAUCCUUAAUUAAUUUUAUCACUUCAACGUAAAGCGCGUGCAGUUAACAGGUGAAGCGAAGGUAUCACGCGAGCGCCGCGCGUAAUCGCGGCAUUAAAAUAUAAAACGAGCAGAAGAGUUUAAUUAAUUUGUCGCCUCGCCACCCUUUUGUCGCGUGUUGCGAUUGGCUGUUACUCGGUAUGCGUUAUACGCAUAUACAUACAUACAUACAUACAUACAUAUAUAUAUACGAGGAAAGUUUCGCUAACGAAUUCACCUAACGCAACUACGACCUCAGAAUUUCGUCAGAGGGCGUACUAAAAGGAUUCCAGCCAGUUCGACCGGUGUCGUCGGCCAAUUCUAUUCGACUAACGAACUUCGUUUCCACGUUUAUUGUUCUUUUUUCUCCACCCACGACGUAAUCGCCUAGGGGUCUCUACCUUUCGAAAAUGAAUUAUCGAAACUCGAAUGCCGGGACGAAAAAUAUCGAUGCUAAUAUUCAGGGAAAAUUCUUUUAUAGAAAUUCCAAGAAGAUGAAUCAUUAUGUAAAUAUAUAUGACAUCGCGAGAACAUUUUGAACAUAAAUAUAUGGUGUGCAAAUUCUCAGAAAUUUCCUCCCGAUUGUAUUUAAUUGAGGGUUAGACUUUCAUCGGUCCAAGUUGGCGCAACUUUGCUCCGGUUAAUUAAAGAAGACUACUGUUUAAUAACCGGUUGUCAACCGGGUGGACGCCAAUUUGGCCCACUUUUCACCGACUCCCCGCGAAUAAUAUUCCUCGUCCUUCGAGCAUCGAGGAAUAGAGCCGUGAAAGGAGGGAACAUUGUUCCCAGUUAUUAAGGUAUUAGGCGGUGGCACGUGGUCGGAAAUUCAACGGAGAGGAGAUAAAAAGAUCGUGACAACGGCAAAUACUGCCGUUCGCGAGGAUAAGAUGAAACGGGGGAAUUUGUUUAAGGCCCUCUCCCUCCUCCUCCUCCCUUUUCGACCUGGAUUCGAGUCGCAAGGAAAUACAUGUGGUACGUCCCUCCCUGUUUUCAAUUAAUAUUAAACGGUCGAUUUAAUGAGAUACAAUAAAUGAAUAUUCUCGUAAUGGAAAUACUCAAAAUCCGGCAACCAGAUGCACUUUAUUACGAUAUAAUCUUUUUGCAAGGUCGCAUUGCAAGUUAACAAAUUCUCUCAGAUUCUUGUCCGAUAUUCAAAUCAAUUGUGCUUUAAUUUAAAUUGGAAAUUUUGAAUUCAACGAGGACAAAAUUCUUAUUCUCUCUUUUUCGGUCACAUUUCCUGAUAAAUUAGAGGCUGGAAAGAAAGAGGGAAAUCCUUCAAAAUUUUCUCUCUCCCGUUUUUUCGCCCUUCUUCCCCGCCCAUCCUCACGUUGCAUCCGAGAAAUCGAUUCACCGCGCAAGAUGCGCUCCCCUGCAGGAUCCCACGGGAGGAUCUUCGGAUCGUGGAGGGAAGAAGCUUCGGGUAAUUAAGAGGCUAAUUGCCGCGCGCGGGUAACGAAGUGCGCGAUUUCCGCUCCCCGAGACCGCGGCAGAGAAUCGCCCAUUCGACCGAAAUUGCAUCCUGUUAACGAGCCCUUUCUUUCUCUCUCCUUCUUUUUUUUUUUUUUUGAUCCUUGAAUAAAAUUCCAUCCUGGCGAUUGUUUAUCCUUUUCUUCCGUUCCUUUUUUUUUUACUCUUGCGUGUGUGUAAAUAAGGGUUUGUUCGAAGGAAAUUAGUUAGCGGAGAUCGUGUUAGUUGUAAUAAUAUAGGAUUCGUAAAGAAAGGCGAAGAAUAGAAUCUAAUUUAAAUAUUUCGUUUAAGCAGAAUUAUUACGAUGGUGUAUAAUUGUGAGCUCGUAAUUAUGAGAUUUAUAAUUAUUUGAAUUAUUGAUCGAGGAAAUAAUAAUAGAAUCUCGGAUCGUAAUAAGAUAAUUUUGUUAUACUAUGAUAAUAUAUAUAUAUAUAUAUAUUUUUUUUUUAUACAUAUAUAAUAAUAAAAAGCUACGAUUUUUUU
Apis cerana (Asiatic honeybee) is the source of this 6186-nucleotide long non-coding RNA. RefSeq lists it as uncharacterized. The record is from RefSeq and is a predicted model, not a curated record. NCBI's taxonomy places the organism in Eukaryota, Metazoa, Arthropoda, Insecta, Hymenoptera, Apidae.